AAAAAAAAAGACAUCAAUGCUGUGAGUUUUCUGCUUUUCUUUUUUCUUUUUUUCUUUUUUUUUUUUGUCUU
Molecule: non-coding RNA, 71 nt
Filed under: Platyophrya macrostoma
Lineage: Eukaryota; Ciliophora; Colpodea; Cyrtolophosidida; Platyophryidae
Source: RNAcentral